AUUGAACGCUGGCGGCAUGCUUUACACAUGCAAGUCGAACGGUAACAGGGAGCUUGCUCCGCUGACGAGUGGCGAACGGGUGAGUAAUGCAUCGGAACAUGCCCAGUCAUGGGGGAUAACUACGCGAAAGCGUAGCUAAUACCGCAUACGCCCUGAGGGGGAAAGUGGGGGAUCUUAGGACCUCACGUGAUUGGAGUGGCCGAUGUCAGAUUAGCUAGUUGGUGAGGUAAAGGCUCACCAAGGCGACGAUCUGUAGCGGGUCUGAGAGGAUGAUCCGCCACACUGGGACUGAGACACGGCCCAGACUCCUACGGGAGGCAGCAGUGGGGAAUUUUGGACAAUGGGCGCAAGCCUGAUCCAGCCAUGCCGCGUGAGUG
RNAcentral lists this ribosomal RNA (377 nucleotides) under uncultured bacterium. Its description in RNAcentral is "bacterial SSU rRNA". It matches the Rfam family "Bacterial small subunit ribosomal RNA", at positions 30 to 407 of the family's 1533-position model. The record is from RNAcentral.